UGAAGUAUGUUUGAAUUUAUAACUCAAAUCCAAUGAUUUAAUUGCUAAUUUGAGAAUGGAAUGGUACUGUUUAUGUCAAGUGUUCAUUUUCUUCUUAUUUGUGUACAACUUUAAUAACAUGUCAGAAUGCUAUUAAGUAUUAUUCCACCGGUCCAAGAGUAUUUCCUUUUCCUUAGAAUUUUCGAUAGCUUCCCGGGGGCGUAGAAGGCUUAUUAAUAUACAGAUUUUGUUAAGCAUAAGCUCAAUAGAAGUAGUUGGGUGUUGAGUAAAUUCCUUGUCAUCAUGUACAUACGGGGUUGUUCCUAAUUGUGCAACAUAGGACUAAAAAGAACUUUUUCUUUGAGGUAAUUACCUUCACGCACAAGGUUCUCUUAUUUGCCAGAAGAAAAUAAUAAGAGUUCCGCGAUGAAAAAUUCCCAUGUCAUAAUUGAUUGCUCCGCUCGUAAGGUUUGAAAUCAAAUGUUCAAUCACACUACAACGUUGCCAAUAUAGGUUAGUAAGUUGAGCCCAAAUGAUGUCAGUAUUAACUAUGACACCCACAAGCGGAACACUAUUCAGAUUACGGAAACCUUCAUAUUUCGGGGGUGGUGUAGGCAUACAGUGACUUAGAUCAGAUGAGUCAAUUCUGAACAUGAAAACAAAUAAGAUGGUAUUUUGUAGGCACUGGUUGUACGAUUGUGAAGUUUCACUUCCCUAACUCCACAGUUUGAUAUGUUUUUAAUCCAAAUAUCUAUAUCUGAAUAGAGAUGAAGAGGCAGAUCAUUAGGAUUGCAAAGAAUAAACUUCAAUAUGAGACCUCCACAAGAUAAAAGAAUACUGCUGCCGGUUAUUGAAAAUUCAUAUAGUUUAGUUUCUCUAAUUCUGAAAGGAAACCUCUGAGAAAGCCGGUUGAAGAAAAGGUCAUCAAAAACUAGGUGUGAGUGCAUUUCCCAUAUACCCCUCUAUGUUUUUGAGAGAAUGCUCAUUCUUGCUACACAGUCAACCGGCAAUCACUUUUGAAUUAGGUAUAGUAAGUCACAGGGCAUGUCACUUUUGAAUUAGACCUUAUUCUAUAGCGAUUGCCGGUUGACUGUAUUGCAAGAAUGUGCAUUCUCUCAAAAACAUGGAGGGGUAAAUGAGAAAUGCACCCACACCUAGUUUUUGAUGACCUUUUCUUCAAUCGGCUUUCUUAGAGGUUUACUUCCAGAAUUAGAGAAACUAAACUAUAUGAAUUUUCAAGAACCGUCAGCAGUAGUCUUUUAUCUCGUAGUGGUAUCAUAUUGAAGUUUGUUCUUUGCAUUCCUCAUGAUUUGUUUCUUCAUCUCUAUUUAGAUAUAGUUAUUUGGAUUAAAAACAUAACAAACAAUGGAGUUAGGGAAGUGCAACUUCAUAAUCGUAUAUUGAGUGCCUACAAAAUACCAUCUUAUUUGUUUUCCUGUUCAGAGUUGACUUAUUUGAUUCUAAGUUGUAUGCUCACACCACCCCGGAAAUUUGAAGACUUCCGUAAUCUGAUUACUGUUUUGCUUGUGGGUGUCAUAAUUACAACUGGCAUUUCAUUUGGUGCUCAACUUGUUGACCUACAUUUGCAACGUUGCAUUGGGAUUGAACUUUUGGGAUGUCAAUAUAAAUAUUAUAUCAAUCUCACUUUUCUGAGUAUUAGCCAUUGUGAUGUAAUUGGAUCAAAUUUCUUGUAUAGAAUCCCAUGUGAAGGAAACACACGAAUUUAGCUCUAUACAUUUCAGGCCUGGUUCUCAUUUCUAUGUAUACAACUUGGAUAGUUUUAUGAUUAAUAUGCUCGAUAUGAUUUUAAUAAAUGUUAUCCAAACUAAUUGCCUCUAGUUGGUAAUGAUGUAAAUCGAUUUUCAUAGGUAGUUUUUGAUAUCAAUAAUCAAAUUUUUUAGAUAUAUGCAACAGAUCACUGUGAAUAUAUGCGUAACAGGUCACUGUGAAGUGUAAUAAGUGUGAGUGAAGUAUGUUUGAAUUUAUAACUCAAAUCCAAUGAUUUAAUUGCUAAUUUGAGAAUGGAAUGGUACUGUUUAUGUCAAGUGUUCAUUUUCUUCUUAUUUGUGUACAACUUUAAUAACAUGUCAGAAUGCUAUUAAGUAUUAUUCCAUCGGUCCAAGAGUAAUUCCUUUUCCUUAGAAUUUUCGAUAGCUUCUCGGGGGCGUAGAAGGCUUAUUAAUAUACAGAUUUUGUUAAGUAUAAGCUCAAUAGAAGUAGUCCGGUGUUAAGUAAAUUCCUUGUCAUCAUGUACAUACGGGGUUGUUCCUAAUUGUGCAACAUAGGACUAAAAAGAACUUUUUCUUUGAGGUAAUUACCUUCACGCACAAGGUUCUCUUAUUUGCCAGAAGAAAAUAAUAAGAGUUCCGCGAUGAAAAAUUCCCAUGUCAUAAUUGAUUGCUCCGCUCGUAAGGUUUGAAAUAAAAUGUUCAAUCACACUACAACGUUGCAUAUAUAGGUUAGUAAGUUGAGCCCAAAUGAUGUCAGUAUUAACUAUGACACCCACAAGCGGAACACUAUUCAGAUUACGGAAACCUUCAUAUUUCGGGGGUGGUGUAGGCAUACAGUGACUUAGAUCAGAUGAGUCAAUUCUGAAAAUGAAAACAAAUAAGAUGGUAUUUUGUAGGCACUGGUUUUACGAUUGUGAAGUUUCACUUCCCUAACUCCACAGUUUGAUAUGUUUUUAAUCCAAAUAUCUAUAUCUGAAUAGAGAUGAAGAGGCAGAUCAUUAGGAUUGC
Molecule: long non-coding RNA, 2717 nt
Filed under: Daucus carota (carrot)
Lineage: Eukaryota; Viridiplantae; Streptophyta; Magnoliopsida; Apiales; Apiaceae
Description: long non-coding RNA (DCAR_LNC002560)
Source: RNAcentral